UAGGAAUUAAAGCAUGAAGAUUGGAACACAGCCAUGUUUCCUGCACCAGUGACACCUUGCUGGAGGACCAAUGCCGAGAAUCAUCAUCACUUCUGCUGAGAACAUGGCUAACCUGGGGACCAUGAGAGGAAACCUGUCACAUGACCAUGUUGCUAUGGGAACUGUCUGGGACUUUUUUCGCUUGGUGCUGUUGUCAUGUUGAUCGAAGUGAUCGGGAGGAAACAUCGACCUGACAGGAAGAGAAUCAAACUGAAGCAGAGGUUGAGUAUGACAGCAUGGAAGAUCAAACACACCAGGCCUGGCUUUGUUCUCUCAGCCUAGUUUAUUGUAUACAGCUUCUGUACAGGUUAAUGACACACAGUCUACUUCCUCAUCCAGCUGAUCCUCUUGGAGAUGGAGAAGUCGUUAAGGUGAAAAGGAACUGUGAAGGACUCUUGAACUCGUUAACAGGCAGGAAUAGAGGAAAUAAUGCUGGUGAGAGAAAAGAAGACUGAGAGAGAAAAUAAAGGGUGAGGGGGAAAAUAAAGGACGUGUAGGGAAUUAGAGAAGCAGGAGAAGAAACAAAUCGGAGGUGAAGCAAGAAAAACUGAAAUCCUUUUUUCCUCGUCACAGUCGGUGGUCUGGAUUUCACCCUCAGGAGCUUUCACACGUUUCUAAGCGACAGAACCUCAGCGCCAGCUUUAAGCAGUUUAUACAAAUAACACUGAAGUGAAAUCUACAUUUAUAUGAGUAUAUAAUCAUUUUUUCUAUAUGUUUUACUUUAAUACUUUUUAAUCAAUUAAUUUUUUUUUUUCUUUGCAAGUAAAUUGUAUUUAAAGGUACAUGUGUUUGUGCAUUCUUUUAAAUGUCAUUAAUGUUAAUUUGUAGAGCGUUUUUAACAAUAAAUGUCUCAAAUCAGUUGUACAGAAAUAAAGCAAUUAUAAAAGCA
This is a long non-coding RNA of Silurus meridionalis, 928 nucleotides long. RefSeq lists it as uncharacterized. The record is from RefSeq and is a predicted model, not a curated record. NCBI's taxonomy places the organism in Eukaryota, Metazoa, Chordata, Actinopteri, Siluriformes, Siluridae. The transcript is spliced from 4 exons.